UCGAACGAACUCUGGUAUUGAUUGGUGCUUGCAUCAUGAUUUACAUUUGAGUGAGUGGCGAACUGGUGAGUAACACGUGGGAAACCUGCCCAGAAGCGGGGGAUAACACCUGGAAACAGAUGCUAAUACCGCAUAACAACUUGGACCGCAUGGUCCGAGCUUGAAAGAUGGCUUCGGCUAUCACUUUUGGAUGGUCCCGCGGCGUAUUAGCUAGAUGGUGGGGUAACGGCUCACCAUGGCAAUGAUACGUAGCCGACCUGAGAGGGUAAUCGGCCACAUUGGGACUGAGACACGGCCCAAACUCCUACGGGAGGCAGCAGUAGGGAAUCUUCCACAAUGGACGAAAGUCUGAUGGAGCAACGCCGCGUGAGUGAAGAAGGGUUUCGGCUCGUAAAACUCUGUUGUUAAAGAAGAACAUAUCUGAGAGUAACUGUUCAGGUAUUGACGGUAUUUAACCAGAAAGCCACGGCUAACUACGUGCCAGCAGCCGCGGUAAUACGUAGGUGGCAAGCGUUGUCCGGAUUUAUUGGGCGUAAAGCGAGCGCAGGCGGUUUUUUAAGUCUGAUGUGAAAGCCUUCGGCUCAACCGAAGAAGUGCAUCGGAAACUGGGAAACUUGAGUGCAGAAGAGGACAGUGGAACUCCAUGUGUAGCGGUGAAAUGCGUAGAUAUAUGGAAGAACACCAGUGGCGAAGGCGGCUGUCUGGUCUGUAACUGACGCUGAGGCUCGAAAGUAUGGGUAGCAAACAGGAUUAGAUACCCUGGUAGUCCAUACCGUAAACGAUGAAUGCUAAGUGUUGGAGGGUUUCCGCCCUUCAGUGCUGCAGCUAACGCAUUAAGCAUUCCGCCUGGGGAGUACGGCCGCAAGGCUGAAACUCAAAGGAAUUGACGGGGGCCCGCACAAGCGGUGGAGCAUGUGGUUUAAUUCGAAGCUACGCGAAGAACCUUACCAGGUCUUGACAUACUAUGCAAAUCUAAGAGAUUAGACGUUCCCUUCGGGGACAUGGAUACAGGUGGUGCAUGGUUGUCGUCAGCUCGUGUCGUGAGAUGUUGGGUUAAGUCCCGCAACGAGCGCAACCCUUAUUAUCAGUUGCCAGCAUUAAGUUGGGCACUCUGGUGAGACUGCCGGUGACAAACCGGAGGAAGGUGGGGAUGACGUCAAAUCAUCAUGCCCCUUAUGACCUGGGCUACACACGUGCUACAAUGGAUGGUACAACGAGUUGCGAACUCGCGAGAGUAAGCUAAUCUCUUAAAGCCAUUCUCAGUUCGGAUUGUAGGCUGCAACUCGCCUACAUGAAGUCGGAAUCGCUAGUAAUCGCGGAUCAGCAUGCCGCGGUGAAUACGUUCCCGGGCCUUGUACACACCGCCCGUCACACCAUGAGAGUUUGUAACACCCAAAGUCGGUGGGGUAACCUUUUAGG
This 1419-nucleotide ribosomal RNA is filed under the name Lactiplantibacillus plantarum subsp. plantarum. RNAcentral describes it as "bacterial SSU rRNA". It matches the Rfam family "Bacterial small subunit ribosomal RNA". The record is from RNAcentral. Lineage: Bacteria; Bacillati; Bacillota; Bacilli; Lactobacillales; Lactobacillaceae.